Molecule: ribosomal RNA, 578 nt
Filed under: Chiltoniidae sp. BU1
Lineage: Eukaryota; Metazoa; Arthropoda; Malacostraca; Amphipoda; Chiltoniidae
Description: partial 28S ribosomal RNA
Source: RNAcentral
CUGCCCGAAAUGCUUGAGUCCUGGUUAGCUGGGAUGUGGCUCUUUGUGGCCGUUCGUGCCGCUUGGGUCACGGUGCCCUUUACGGGCGGGCUCGUUCAUGGGCGCGACUUGUCGCGCUCCUCUGAUGUGGGUCCGUGCCGGGUGAACCUAUCGAAGCAUCACACGGUAAUUGCCCACCACAGCUCGUUGCUUGGUCACCCACUGUGUCCGAACGUGCAGGAUGCUCAUCCAGUGUCCGGACUGUCAAUGCUUGACGCGUGUUUAUGGGCGAUGCCACCGCACGGAGGGCUUUUCCGUGCGCGUGCGCGCUCGCGUCACGUCCGUGAUGUAUCCUGGCUCUGACUGCCGACUUGUGUGGACGUGGUGUGAUCCAUUCGGCGACGAAGCUGGAAUUGGCCAGACGCAUGCAACCCCAGCACGGCGGCCAUGUGUCGGUCGCUGUGUACCUGCGGGCAGGCUGUCUGCGUCGCAUGUGUCGCAUACGCUCAGCCUGGGAGUUGGUCUGAUUGGUGAUGAUCUAGCGACCAUCGGUCACGUCUCGAAACACGGGCCAAGGAGUAUAGCAUGUGUGCAAGUCU